This 253-nucleotide ribosomal RNA is filed under the name uncultured bacterium. Its description in RNAcentral is "partial 16S ribosomal RNA". It matches the Rfam family "Bacterial small subunit ribosomal RNA", at positions 524 to 776 of the family's 1533-position model. The record is from RNAcentral.
GACGUAGGGCGCGAGCGUUGUCCGGAUUUAUUGGGCGUAAAGAGCUCGUAGGCGGCUUGUCGCGUCGUCUGUGAAAUCCCGCGGCUCAACUGCGGGCUGGCAGUCGAUACGGGCAGGCUGGAGUUCGGUAGGGGAGACUGGAAUUCCUGGUGUAGCGGUGAAAUGCGCAGAUAUCAGGAGGAACACCGGUGGCGAAGGCGGGUCUCUGGGCAGUAACUGACGCUGAGGAGCGAAAGCGUGGGGAGCGAACAGG